Molecule: ribosomal RNA, 272 nt
Filed under: uncultured Hyphomicrobiales bacterium
Lineage: Bacteria; Pseudomonadati; Pseudomonadota; Alphaproteobacteria; Hyphomicrobiales
Description: uncultured Rhizobiales bacterium partial 16S ribosomal RNA
Rfam family: Bacterial small subunit ribosomal RNA
Source: RNAcentral
UGCAGUCGAGCGCGUGCUUCAUACAAGACAGCAGACGGGAGAGUUCACGUGGGAAAGAAACCUUCGGUUCGGAAUAACCCAGGGAAACUUGGACUAAUACUUGACACGUCCGAAAGGAGAAAGAUUCAUCGCCGAAGGAUCGGCCCGCGGCUGAUUAGCUAGUUGGUGAGGUAACGGCUCACCAAGGCUACGAUCGGUAGCUGGUCUGAGAGGAUGAUCAGCCUCACUGGGACUGAGACACGGCCCAGACUCCUACGGGAGGCAGCAGUGGG